RNAcentral lists this ribosomal RNA (1530 nucleotides) under Escherichia coli KTE42. Its description in RNAcentral is "bacterial SSU rRNA". It matches the Rfam family "Bacterial small subunit ribosomal RNA". The record is from RNAcentral. Lineage: Bacteria; Pseudomonadati; Pseudomonadota; Gammaproteobacteria; Enterobacterales; Enterobacteriaceae.
AGAGUUUGAUCAUGGCUCAGAUUGAACGCUGGCGGCAGGCCUAACACAUGCAAGUCGAACGGUAACAGGAAACAGCUUGCUGUUUCGCUGACGAGUGGCGGACGGGUGAGUAAUGUCUGGGAAACUGCCUGAUGGAGGGGGAUAACUACUGGAAACGGUAGCUAAUACCGCAUAAUGUCGCAAGACCAAAGAGGGGGACCUUCGGGCCUCUUGCCAUCAGAUGUGCCCAGAUGGGAUUAGCUAGUAGGUGGGGUAACGGCUCACCUAGGCGACGAUCCCUAGCUGGUCUGAGAGGAUGACCAGCCACACUGGAACUGAGACACGGUCCAGACUCCUACGGGAGGCAGCAGUGGGGAAUAUUGCACAAUGGGCGCAAGCCUGAUGCAGCCAUGCCGCGUGUAUGAAGAAGGCCUUCGGGUUGUAAAGUACUUUCAGCGGGGAGGAAGGGAGUAAAGUUAAUACCUUUGCUCAUUGACGUUACCCGCAGAAGAAGCACCGGCUAACUCCGUGCCAGCAGCCGCGGUAAUACGGAGGGUGCAAGCGUUAAUCGGAAUUACUGGGCGUAAAGCGCACGCAGGCGGUUUGUUAAGUCAGAUGUGAAAUCCCCGGGCUCAACCUGGGAACUGCAUCUGAUACUGGCAAGCUUGAGUCUCGUAGAGGGGGGUAGAAUUCCAGGUGUAGCGGUGAAAUGCGUAGAGAUCUGGAGGAAUACCGGUGGCGAAGGCGGCCCCCUGGACGAAGACUGACGCUCAGGUGCGAAAGCGUGGGGAGCAAACAGGAUUAGAUACCCUGGUAGUCCACGCCGUAAACGAUGUCGACUUGGAGGUUGUGCCCUUGAGGCGUGGCUUCCGGAGCUAACGCGUUAAGUCGACCGCCUGGGGAGUACGGCCGCAAGGUUAAAACUCAAAUGAAUUGACGGGGGCCCGCACAAGCGGUGGAGCAUGUGGUUUAAUUCGAUGCAACGCGAAGAACCUUACCUGGUCUUGACAUCCACGGAAGUUUUCAGAGAUGAGAAUGUGCCUUCGGGAACCGUGAGACAGGUGCUGCAUGGCUGUCGUCAGCUCGUGUUGUGAAAUGUUGGGUUAAGUCCCGCAACGAGCGCAACCCUUAUCCUUUGUUGCCAGCGGUCCGGCCGGGAACUCAAAGGAGACUGCCAGUGAUAAACUGGAGGAAGGUGGGGAUGACGUCAAGUCAUCAUGGCCCUUACGACCAGGGCUACACACGUGCUACAAUGGCGCAUACAAAGAGAAGCGACCUCGCGAGAGCAAGCGGACCUCAUAAAGUGCGUCGUAGUCCGGAUUGGAGUCUGCAACUCGACUCCAUGAAGUCGGAAUCGCUAGUAAUCGUGGAUCAGAAUGCCACGGUGAAUACGUUCCCGGGCCUUGUACACACCGCCCGUCACACCAUGGGAGUGGGUUGCAAAAGAAGUAGGUAGCUUAACCUUCGGGAGGGCGCUUACCACUUUGUGAUUCAUGACUGGGGUGAAGUCGUAACAAGGUAACCGUAGGGGAACCUGCGGUUGGAUCACCU